CUCCAAGCCUUGGAUUUGUCCGGCAACUAUUUCUCUGGUGAGCUUCCUCCGGACGUCUCCUCCAUGUCCAACUUAUCUUACGUCGAUCUCGGUGGGAACCUGUUAAGCGGCCACAUUCCUCCACAGUUUGGUGAGUUGAGCAACCUUAAGUACCUCACGCUUGCGGCCAACCAGUUCACAGGAUCCAUCCCUCCAGAGCUCGGCCAGCUCGCCAACUUGGAGUGGCUCUACCUCGGCUACAACAGCCUCACCG
RNAcentral lists this long non-coding RNA (253 nucleotides) under Selaginella moellendorffii. Its description in RNAcentral is "long non-coding RNA (SMOE_LNC001346)". The record is from RNAcentral. Lineage: Eukaryota; Viridiplantae; Streptophyta; Lycopodiopsida; Selaginellales; Selaginellaceae.